RNAcentral lists this non-coding RNA (269 nucleotides) under human gut metagenome. The record is from RNAcentral.
UGCACCGAUCCUUUGCCAAAGGACUUUUCGCCCAGAACAACCGCUCUUUUAUGAUCUUGCAAAGCGCCGGCAAGAAUCUCCGAUGCCGAGGCCGAACCGUCGUUGAUCAGCACCACAAUCGGCAGGCCGGCGGCAAUAUCGCCUUUGGUGGCAUUGUAUUUGACGGUGUCUUCUUCGUUGCGCGAGCGGGUGGAAACGAUUUCCCCCUUGUCCAGAAACAGGUCGGAAACCGCUACUGCCUGAUCCAGCAGGCCGCCGGGAUUGUUGCG